CCUACGGGUGGCAGCAGUGAGGAAUAUUGGUCAAUGGGCGUACGCCUGAACCAGCCAAGUCGCGUGAGGGAAGACUGCCCUAUGGGUUGUAAACCUCUUUUGUCAGGGAGCAACGCCGGCUACGUGUAGCCUGACUGAUAGUACCUGAAGAAAAAGCAUGGGCUAACUCCGUGCCAGCAGCCGCGGUAAUACGGAGGAUGCGAGCGUUAUCGGGAUUUCUUGGGUUAAAGGGGUGCGUAGGCGGAAUGCCAAGUCAGCGGUAAAAUCGCGGGGCUCAACCUCGCUCCGCCGUUGAAACUGGCGGUCUUGAGUGGGCGAGAGGUAGGCGGAAUUCGUGGUGUAGCGGUGAAAUGCAUAGAUAUCACGCAGAACUCCGAUUGCGAAGGCAGCAUACCG
Molecule: ribosomal RNA, 396 nt
Filed under: uncultured bacterium
Lineage: Bacteria
Description: partial 16S ribosomal RNA
Rfam family: Bacterial small subunit ribosomal RNA
Source: RNAcentral